Molecule: non-coding RNA, 198 nt
Filed under: Pasteurella bettyae
Lineage: Bacteria; Pseudomonadati; Pseudomonadota; Gammaproteobacteria; Pasteurellales; Pasteurellaceae
Also listed under: 1 other name
Description: 6S RNA
Rfam family: 6S / SsrS RNA
About the family: E. coli 6S RNA was the first non coding RNA to be sequenced, but its function was unknown until recently. It consists of 184 nucleotides that fold into an extended hairpin structure with a large single-stranded internal bulge.
Source: RNAcentral
GACUUCCUGAGAUGUUCGACAGCGGGUUACGUCCCUGAGCCGAUACUUAUAUAUUUCGAAUUGGUUCUCUAUUGUUGGUGUGUAUGCUUACCUUGAUCUUAGGAUCCUGAUGUAGGAAACCUGAAAACAAUUACAACUGAUUCCCUUGAACCGUCGGGUUCAAGGACCGACCACCCACAACGGCAUCUCGGGUUCUUU